Acromyrmex echinatior (Panamanian leafcutter ant) is the source of this 508-nucleotide long non-coding RNA. RefSeq lists it as uncharacterized. The record is from RefSeq and is a predicted model, not a curated record. NCBI's taxonomy places the organism in Eukaryota, Metazoa, Arthropoda, Insecta, Hymenoptera, Formicidae.
GUAAGCAUUCGUUGAUAUUCGUAAACAUUCGUUGACACAAUCCAUGGUGGGAGAAUAUGAUGCUGCCGCCUGGACUGUGUAUUGGAACUACGACAACUUCCGUCCCCACUGAAAUAUACGGAGUUUGUACCCGCGGACACGAACUAUCGCUGUCUCUCGAAACGUGGAAGAGCCUCUACGAGCAACGAUGUAAUAUUUACAAGAUGUAAUAUUUUCAAAAAGAAUAUACAAGGAUAAUUUUAUAAACGUUGAACCGCUAAUUAUCAGAGUUUGUACACUGAACAAUGCUACGCUCAUGUAUCGAUAUAAUGUUCGAACGAUUCCGACUCGUCGAUAUGGUCGAUGUCAAAUAUACAUGAUUCUCCAACAUCGUGCCUGAAGAUGCUAUACGCGUAUAGCGAUAUCUUCAAUGGACAUCAGCUCAUCGAUUGUGAGGUAUUAGCUUUAGUUUUAAAUACGUAUGAAAAAAAACGAUAUAAUAACAUGUGAAUAAAAAAUAUUUCGUUCA